RNAcentral lists this ribosomal RNA (804 nucleotides) under uncultured bacterium. RNAcentral describes it as "bacterial SSU rRNA". It matches the Rfam family "Bacterial small subunit ribosomal RNA", at positions 629 to 1435 of the family's 1533-position model. The record is from RNAcentral.
UGAACUGGGUAGCUAGAGUAUGUCAGAGGGGGGUAGAAUUCCACGUGUAGCAGUGAAAUGNGUAGAGAUGUGGAGGAAUACCGAUGGCGAAGGCAGCCCCCUGGGAUAAUACUGACAUUCAUGCUCGAAAGCGUGGGUAGCAAACAGGAUUAGAUACCCUGGUAGUNCACGCCCUAAACGAUGUCGAUUAGCUGUUGGGCAACUUGAUUGCUUAGUAGCGUAGCUAACGCGUGAAAUCGACCGCCUGGGGAGUACGGUCGCAAGAUUAAAACUCAAAGGAAUUGACGGGGACCCGCACAAGCGGUGGAUGAUGUGGAUUAAUUCGAUGCAACGCGAAGAACCUUACCUGGUCUUGACAUGUACGGAAGAACUCAGAGACGAGUUUGUGCCUUCGGGAGCCGUAACACAGGUGCUGCAUGGCUGUCGUCAGCUCGUGUCGUGAGAUGUUGGGUUAAGUCCCGCAACGAGCGCAACCCUUGUCAUUAGUUGCCAUCAUUUAGUUGGGCACUCUAUGAGACUGCCGGUGACAAACCGGGGGAAGGUGGGGAUGACGUCGAGUCCUCAUGGCCCUUAUGACCAGGGCUUCACACGUCAUACAAUGGUCGGUACAGAGGGUAGCCAAGCCGCGAGGUGGAGCCAAUCCCAGAAAACCGAUCGUAGUCCGGAUUGCACUCUGCAACUCGAGUGCAUGAAGUCGGAAUCGCUAGUAAUCGCAGGUCAGCAUACUGCGGUGAAUACGUUCCCGGGUCUUGUACACACCGCCCGUCACACCAUGGGAGUGGGGGAUACCAGAAGUAGGUAGGG